ACUCCUACGGGAGGCAGCAGUGGGGAAUAUUGCACAAUGGGGAAAGCCCAUCGAUGCAGCCAUGCCGCGUGUAUGAAGAAGGCCUUCGGGUUGUAAAGUACUUUCAGCAGUGAGGAAGGUGGGUAUGUUAAUAGCAUAUUCAUUUGACGUUAGCUGCAGAAGAAGCACCGGCUAACUCCGUGCCAGCAGCCGCGGUAAUACGGAGGGUGCGAGCGUUAAUCGGAAUUACUGGGCGUAAAGCGCAUGCAGGUGGUUUGUUAAGUCAGAUGUGAAAGCCC
This 278-nucleotide ribosomal RNA is filed under the name uncultured bacterium. RNAcentral describes it as "partial 16S ribosomal RNA". It matches the Rfam family "Bacterial small subunit ribosomal RNA", at positions 335 to 603 of the family's 1533-position model. The record is from RNAcentral.